AUGGCGGCCGGCGUGACCACCAUCGGGUGGGAAGAGGAGGAACGGCCAGCGGCGGGGCGAGGCCAAGCCCCAGCCCAGCCCUUGCCUGGGCGCUCUGAGAUCCCCAGCAGCAACAAGAAGCCCAGCGCUAGACCGGCCAGGGACAGUAAGGCUCGCCCAGCGGCGGAAGAGGGGCAGGGGCCACCGGGCCAGGAGAUUGAGUUGAGGAACCAGCAGCCGGAGAAGCCGAAGCGGGGGGUGCGGUGGCGGUGCUCGACGGGAUGCGGCGCCUGCUGCAAGCUAGACAAGGGCCCCAAGUUCCUCACCCCCGACAAGGACAAGGCGGACGGGGCUGACCACCUCCAGUGCACCAACUAUGACAAGUCCAACCGAACCUGCAACAUCUACGAAGAAUGGCCAUUCUUCUGCCGGGUCGAACCGAAGGUUUUCGAAGAGUUCUUUGGUGUGCCAUGCAGCAAAUUCGACAGGGAAGCCUGCAGUGCUUGUGUGGAUAACAUAAAGAUGGUGUAUGGUCAGGACUCUCCUGAGCUUGGAAACCUCAAGCGGGUCAUAAGGGAGGAAAGUAGUAAGCAGGAAGCAAGCAUGAACCGGGUUAAAUUGUUGGAUACCACAAAUACUGGUACCUGA
This 627-nucleotide ribosomal RNA is filed under the name Triticum aestivum (bread wheat). Its description in RNAcentral is "partial small subunit ribosomal RNA". The record is from RNAcentral. Lineage: Eukaryota; Viridiplantae; Streptophyta; Magnoliopsida; Poales; Poaceae.